RNAcentral lists this ribosomal RNA (460 nucleotides) under uncultured bacterium. RNAcentral's name for it is "partial 16S ribosomal RNA". It matches the Rfam family "Bacterial small subunit ribosomal RNA", at positions 338 to 795 of the family's 1533-position model. The record is from RNAcentral.
CCUACGGGUGGCAGCAGUGAGGAAUAUUGGUCAAUGGGCGCAAGCCUGAACCAGCCAAGUCGCGUGAGGGAUGACGGUCCUAUGGAUUGUAAACCUCUUUUGUCGGGGAGCAAGGCCCGCCACGUGUGGCGGGAAGGAGAGUACCCGAAGAAAAAGCAUCGGCUAACUCCGUGCCAGCAGCCGCGGUAAUACGGAGGAUGCGAGCGUUAUCCGGAUUUAUUGGGUUGAAAGGGUGCGGAGGCGGAAGGUUAAGUCAGCGGUAAAAGGUAGGGGCUCAACCCCGGCCUGCCGUUGAAACUGGUCUUCUUGAGAGAGCGAGAAGUAUGCGGAAUGCGUGGUGUAGCGGUGAAAUGCAUAGAUAUCACGCAGAACUCCGAUUGCGAAGGCAGCAUACCGGCGCCCAACUGACGCUGAAGCACGAAAGCGUGGGUAUCGAACAGGAUUAGAUACCCGAGUAGUC